AUAUGCAUGGCGGCGAGGCGGGUAGGCACAAGGCAGACUCUGCGGGGCUGGCGUUGUGCGGGCAGAAGCUGGUGGUGCAGGGGAGCAGCCGGUUCCAGACCACCUCCACUGCAAGCAGUGACGAUGACAGCCUCUUCAUCUAUGACUGCAGUGCUUGAAAACAAGUCACAAGAAAAUAAAGGGGACGACGAGCCGCCCUUGGUUCAGGGGAGCGGUGCAAUUGUCGGUCCACCUUCUCCAAGUCUGGCAGCUGUUUUCUUUAACCGAUGGCAGUAAGUGUCUGAUUCUUUUCUGUACAUAACCAUGGCAAUGUCUGAGUGUCAGGACCAUGACAAGGAGGUGUACGGACCUGACCUUCACAGCCUCCGAAGAGAAGGUCUUGGUGGCUGACAAGUCUGGAGGCGUCUCCUCUUCGGUGCUGGAGCCACACGGAUGCGGCCGACUGGAGCUGCAGCACCUUUCUGUCCAUGCUAUUAGACGUGGCUGUGCAUCCUGAUGACCACUUCGUCCUCACUGCGGACCGGGACGAGAAGAUCCAGGUCAGCAGGGCCGCCAUGCCCCGCAGCAUUGAGUCCUCCUGCCUCGGGCACACAGUUUGUGAACUACAUCUCCAUGUUGCCCACUCAGCCUGAGCUGCUUCCAUCCUCCUCCGGGGCCUGCACCCUGAGGCUCUGGGAGUACAGAAGCGGCCGCCAACUUCACUUCUGUCACCUCCACAGUCUCCAAGAGUCCGCGGACCUCCAGGUCCCCCCAGAGGUUUGCCGCGUCCAGGAUUGCGUUCUGGUGCCAGGAGAACCGGGUGGUGCUUCUGAGCACCUGCAUUGCUGUGGGAUACAUCUUCCAGUUUCACGCCGGUAGACAGAAGCUGGUGUACAGGCAGCAGCUGUCAUUCCAGCAUCGAGUGUGGGAUGUAGCUUUUGAGGAAACCCAGGGGCUGUCGGUGCUCCAGGACUGCCUGGAAGCCCCCCUCCCCUGGUGCUCUGCAGGCCUGUGGGUGGCCAGUGGCAGUCUGUUCCUGAAAGUGCCAUGUUAAAGAAAGUCUCCAGUGUUCUUUGUGGGAACCGGGCCAUGCUGGAAGGCUCUGCCUGCGUGAACCCCAGCUUUAGCAGUCUCUACAAGGCCAACUUUGACAACAUAACCUUCUACCUGAAGAAGAAAGAGGAGAGACUGCAGCAGCAGCUGAAGAAGCAGCAGCGCAGUUGAGUCCCCCACCUGGGCCAAUGGGCAGGCCAAGAAGAUAAGGCCGGGGGAGUCAGCCUGGCGUUGCUGAUCUUGGCUGUCGGUGGUGCCCCACACCCUCGAAACAGGAAAAGUAGUUUUCACUUGUUCCCCCUGCAUCCUGGCAUCUCCCUUCAAAAAGGAAAAGGUGACAUCAGGUGCGACCAGCUCAGCUCAGAGAACGGGACUGUCUCCUGGGCUCUAGAACAUUCUGUGUUGCUGGGCACAGGCUCUUGCCUGGUGCCUGUGCUCCUUUCUGGUUGAAGGGAAGCCAGACGGGUGGAGUGGAAGCACUUUACCUUCACGUUGAAGGCAGCGUGUGAACCUGCAGUGGUGGCAGCUGUCAGUUUUCUGCUAUUCUGGAGCCUGGCGCGCUUCCUCUAGGAGGAUCUAUCGCCGACGCUGUGGACGCUUUCCUGUUGUUCCCACCAUCUCACGGUCCAGGUGAUGCGCUGCCCCGCAGUAGCUGCUCGCCAUACGAGGCUGUUGAAACUUAAACGAACGCUUCAGCCUGCCCCAGCCCCAGCACUGCACCUUGUACUCAGGAGGUGCCCGUGGCGAGUGGUUCCCACGUGGGAAGUG
This 1800-nucleotide long non-coding RNA is filed under the name Homo sapiens (human). RNAcentral's name for it is "non-protein coding lnc-FBXO48-1:1". Lineage: Eukaryota; Metazoa; Chordata; Mammalia; Primates; Hominidae. The record is from RNAcentral.